ACAGUGAUGUUAUGGAUGAAGAAAAAGGCUAGCAAAAUCCUUGAGCCUACGCAUAGAAACUUGAUGAGGCGAAAUUCUGGAUAAGGUUAUAUAACAAACUGAAGUCCAAAAGGUAAACGUAUAACCAAGACAGUAAAUCAAGAGGUUGUGAGAU
RNAcentral lists this non-coding RNA (154 nucleotides) under uncultured Anaeroplasma sp. The record is from RNAcentral. Lineage: Bacteria; Bacillati; Mycoplasmatota; Mollicutes; Anaeroplasmatales; Anaeroplasmataceae.